UAGAAGCACUCACCAUUUAAACGAUUCCUAUGAGCUCACUAGUCGCGUGACUCUGCGCCUAAAAUGCUCAGGGGCUGAUUACACUACCGAAGCUGCGGACUGAUACCAAUGGUACCAGUGGUAGGGGAGCGUUUUGAGGACGGUGAAGUCAGACCGGAAGGACUGGUGGACUGCUUAGAACUGAGAAUGCCGGUAUGAGUAGCGAAAGACGGGUGAGAAUCCCGUCCACCGAAUGCCUAAGGUUUCCUGCGGAAGGCUCGUCCGCUCAGGGUUAGUCAGGACCUAAGCCGAGCCCGACAGGCGUGGGCGAUGGUCAACAGGUUGAUAUUCCUGUAUCAUCUCUGUAUCGUUCGAGCAAUGGAGGGACGAAAAAGGAGAGCAAAAGCGUGCGUUUGGUUGCUCAUGUCAAAGCAGUUAGGCGGAGAAGUAGGCAAAUCAGCUUCUCGUAAAGGCUGAGCUGUGAAGGGCAAGC
This 472-nucleotide ribosomal RNA is filed under the name Bacillus sp. MB366. RNAcentral's name for it is "bacterial LSU rRNA". It matches the Rfam family "Bacterial large subunit ribosomal RNA", at positions 1107 to 1575 of the family's 2925-position model. The record is from RNAcentral. Lineage: Bacteria; Bacillati; Bacillota; Bacilli; Caryophanales; Bacillaceae.